UGGGUGUCCUACUAUACAGAUACAGCCCUACAGAUAUCGCUAUGCUAUAUCUGUAUACUAUACAGAUAUCGCUUUAAAGCUCCGCCCACUGCCGGAAUGAGUAUUGUUUGAACCUGUGUGACCUCAGAAUGUGUAUUCCAGUUGUAUUCCAAUGACGAUGACAAUUGUCGAUUUCAAAACUUGAAUGUGUAUGAUUGUGUUACAAAAUCAACCAUGUCAAUUUCAGCAUGCAUGUUUAGUGAAAGUCAAGUCUGAAGCGUAGGACAACUCGUACACUUCUGUUUCAAAUUUGACAAUGUUUUGUUAUUUAUUUUUACUGUUGAAAUUAGUUGUUAUGUUAAAAUAGAUAAUUAUUCACAUUGAGCGAUGUAUUAUUGAUGACCAUUCGAGAUUCUUUUUUUGCGAAACC
This 409-nucleotide long non-coding RNA is filed under the name Mytilus galloprovincialis (Mediterranean mussel). The record is from RNAcentral. Lineage: Eukaryota; Metazoa; Mollusca; Bivalvia; Mytilida; Mytilidae.